Molecule: non-coding RNA, 367 nt
Organism: Pelobates cultripes (western spadefoot toad)
Lineage: Eukaryota; Metazoa; Chordata; Amphibia; Anura; Pelobatidae
Source: the annotation of a GenBank genome assembly
CCUUGUUUCAUAUGUAUGUGUAUAUAUAUAUAUAUAUAUAUAUAUAUAUAUAUAUAUAUAUAUAUAUAUAUAUAUAUAUAUAUAUAUAUAUAUAUAUAUAUAUAUAUAUAUAUAUAUUUUUAUUGGGGUAGCCCCCAAAAUAUUGGGACAUAUUAAAAAACGACAACUCUGUUCCGUGACGGCGACUUUGCAUUCGGAUGUCAUCCAUAUCAACUUUCGAUGCCAGUUUCUGCGCCUACCAUGGUGACCACAGGUAACAGGGAAUCAGGGUUCCAUUCCGUACAGGGACCCUGAGAAACAGCUACCACAUGCAAGGAAGGCAGCAGGCGCGCAAAUGACCCACUCCCGACGCGGGAAGGUAGUGACG